This 2797-nucleotide ribosomal RNA is filed under the name Serratia proteamaculans. RNAcentral describes it as "23S ribosomal RNA". It matches the Rfam family "Bacterial large subunit ribosomal RNA". Lineage: Bacteria; Pseudomonadati; Pseudomonadota; Gammaproteobacteria; Enterobacterales; Yersiniaceae. The record is from RNAcentral.
UUAAGUGACUAAGCGUACACGGUGGAUGCCUAGGCAGUCAGAGGCGAUGAAGGGCGUGUUAAUCUGCGAUAAGCGUCGGUAAGGUGAUAUAAACCGUUAUAACCGGCGAUACCCGAAUGGGGAAACCCAGUGCAAUUCGUUGCACUAUCAUACGAUGAAUACAUAGUCGUAUGAGGCGAACCGGGGGAACUGAAACAUCUAAGUACCCCGAGGAAAAGAAAUCAACCGAGAUUCCCCCAGUAGCGGCGAGCGAACGGGGAGGAGCCCAGAACCUGAAUCAGUUCUUGUGUUAGUGGAAGCGUCUGGAAAGUCGCACAGUAAAGGGUGAUAGUCCCGUACACUAAAAUGCAUUAAUUGUGAGUUCGAUGAGUAGGGCGGGACACGUGACAUCCUGUCUGAAUAUGGGGGGACCAUCCUCCAAGGCUAAAUACUCCUGACUGACCGAUAGUGAACCAGUACCGUGAGGGAAAGGCGAAAAGAACCCCGGCGAGGGGAGUGAAAUAGAACCUGAAACCGUGUACGUACAAGCAGUGGGAGCCUACUAGUUGGGUGACUGCGUACCUUUUGUAUAAUGGGUCAGCGACUUAUAUUUUGUAGCAAGGUUAACCGUAUAGGGGAGCCGUAGGGAAACCGAGUCUUAACUGGGCGAAUAGUUGCAAGGUAUAGACCCGAAACCCGGUGAUCUAGCCAUGGGCAGGUUGAAGGUUGGGUAACACUAACUGGAGGACCGAACCGACUAAUGUUGAAAAAUUAGCGGAUGACUUGUGGCUGGGGGUGAAAGGCCAAUCAAACCGGGAGAUAGCUGGUUCUCCCCGAAAGCUAUUUAGGUAGCGCCUCGUGAACUCAUCUUCGGGGGUAGAGCACUGUUUCGGCUAGGGGGCCAUCCCGGCUUACCAAACCGAUGCAAACUCCGAAUACCGAAGAAUGUUAUCACGGGAGACACACGGCGGGUGCUAACGUCCGUCGUGAAGAGGGAAACAACCCAGACCGCCAGCUAAGGUCCCAAAGUCAUGGUUAAGUGGGAAACGAUGUGGGAAGGCAUAGACAGCCAGGAUGUUGGCUUAGAAGCAGCCAUCAUUUAAAGAAAGCGUAAUAGCUCACUGGUCGAGUCGGCCUGCGCGGAAGAUGUAACGGGGCUAAACCAUGCACCGAAGCUGCGGCAGCGACGCUUAGGCGUUGUUGGGUAGGGGAGCGUUCUGUAAGCCGUUGAAGGUGGCCUGUGAGGGUUGCUGGAGGUAUCAGAAGUGCGAAUGCUGACAUAAGUAACGAUAAAGCGGGUGAAAAACCCGCUCGCCGGAAGACCAAGGGUUCCUGUCCAACGUUAAUCGGGGCAGGGUGAGUCGACCCCUAAGGCGAGGCCGAAAGGCGUAGUCGAUGGGAAACAGGUUAAUAUUCCUGUACUCGGUGUUACUGCGAAGGGGGGACGGAGAAGGCUAGGCUAGCCGGGCGACGGUUGUCCCGGUUUAAGCGUGUAGGGGGAGUGACUUGGUAAAUCCGGUUACUUAUUCAACCCUGAGGCGUGAUGACGAUGCACUACGGUGCAGAAGUAGUUGAUGCCAAGCUUCCAGGAAAAGCCUCUAAGCAUCAGGUAACAUCAAAUCGUACCCCAAACCGACACAGGUGGUCAGGUAGAGAAUACCAAGGCGCUUGAGAGAACUCGGGUGAAGGAACUAGGCAAAAUGGUGCCGUAACUUCGGGAGAAGGCACGCUGGCGCGUAGGUGAAGAGACUUGCUCUCGGAGCUGAAGCCAGUCGCAGAUACCAGCUGGCUGCAACUGUUUAAUAAAAACACAGCACUGUGCAAACACGAAAGUGGACGUAUACGGUGUGACGCCUGCCCGGUGCUGGAAGGUUAAUUGAUGGGGUCAGCCGCAAGGCGAAGCUCUUGAUCGAAGCCCCAGUAAACGGCGGCCGUAACUAUAACGGUCCUAAGGUAGCGAAAUUCCUUGUCGGGUAAGUUCCGACCUGCACGAAUGGCGUAAUGAUGGCCAGGCUGUCUCCACCCGAGACUCAGUGAAAUUGAACUCGCUGUGAAGAUGCAGUGUACCCGCGGCAAGACGGAAAGACCCCGUGAACCUUUACUAUAGCUUGACACUGAACAUUGAGCCUUGAUGUGUAGGAUAGGUGGGAGGCUUUGAAGCGUGGACGCCAGUCUGCGUGGAGCCAACCUUGAAAUACCACCCUUUAAUGUUUGAUGUUCUAACUCGGCCCCGUGAUCCGGGGUGAGGACAGUGUCUGGUGGGUAGUUUGACUGGGGCGGUCUCCUCCCAAAGAGUAACGGAGGAGCACGAAGGUUAGCUAAUCACGGUCGGACAUCGUGAGGUUAGUGCAAAGGCAUAAGCUAGCUUGACUGCGAGAGUGACGGCUCGAGCAGGUACGAAAGUAGGUCUUAGUGAUCCGGUGGUUCUGAAUGGAAGGGCCAUCGCUCAACGGAUAAAAGGUACUCCGGGGAUAACAGGCUGAUACCGCCCAAGAGUUCAUAUCGACGGCGGUGUUUGGCACCUCGAUGUCGGCUCAUCACAUCCUGGGGCUGAAGUAGGUCCCAAGGGUAUGGCUGUUCGCCAUUUAAAGUGGUACGCGAGCUGGGUUUAGAACGUCGUGAGACAGUUCGGUCCCUAUCUGCCGUGGGCGUUGGAAGAUUGAGAGGGGUUGCUCCUAGUACGAGAGGACCGGAGUGAACGCACCACUGGUGUUCGGGUUGUCAUGCCAAUGGCAUUGCCCGGUAGCUAAGUGCGGAAAAGAUAAGCGCUGAAAGCAUCUAAGCGCGAAACUUGCCUCGAGAUGAGUCUUCCCUGGGG